UUCGAAACUGGCAGGCUUGAGUCUUGUAGAGGGGGGUAGAAUUCCAGGUGUAGCGGUGAAAUGCGUAGAGAUCUGGAGGAAUACCGGUGGCGAAGGCGGCCCCCUGGACAAAGACUGACGCUCAGGUGCGAAAGCGUGGGGAGCAAACAGGAUUAGAUACCCUGGUAGUCCACGCCGUAAACGAUGUCUACUUGGAGGUUGUGCCCUUGAGGCGUGGCUUCCGGAGCUAACGCGUUAAGUAGACCGCCUGGGGAGUACGGCCGCAAGGUUAAAACUCAAAUGAAUUGACGGGGGCCCGCACAAGCGGUGGAGCAUGUGGUUUAAUUCGAUGCAACGCGAAGAACCUUACCUGGUCUUGACAUCCACAGAACUUUCCAGAG
This 380-nucleotide ribosomal RNA is filed under the name Salmonella enterica subsp. enterica serovar Corvallis. RNAcentral's name for it is "bacterial SSU rRNA". It matches the Rfam family "Bacterial small subunit ribosomal RNA", at positions 626 to 1005 of the family's 1533-position model. Lineage: Bacteria; Pseudomonadati; Pseudomonadota; Gammaproteobacteria; Enterobacterales; Enterobacteriaceae. The record is from RNAcentral.